This 139-nucleotide ribosomal RNA is filed under the name uncultured eukaryote. RNAcentral's name for it is "partial 18S ribosomal RNA". It matches the Rfam family "Eukaryotic small subunit ribosomal RNA", at positions 1299 to 1458 of the family's 1831-position model. The record is from RNAcentral.
UGGUGGAGUGAUUUGUCUGGUUAAUUCCGUUAACGAACGAGACCUUGACCUGCUAAAUAGUCGCUCGAAUCUUUGAUUCGUGAUAGACUUCUUAGAGGGACUUUGCGUGUCUAACGCAAGGAAGUUUGAGGCAAUAACA